Molecule: long non-coding RNA, 1378 nt
Organism: Camponotus floridanus (Florida carpenter ant)
Lineage: Eukaryota; Metazoa; Arthropoda; Insecta; Hymenoptera; Formicidae
Exons: 7
Source: RefSeq, a predicted model, not a curated record
CAUUAUAGAUCAAUAUAUAUAAUUGCAAAUUUAUAAUUUAAUAUUGCUAGUCAAAUGCCUAAUGUCAUAAUGUCUAAGAAUGUAUAUUAUAUAUAUUGAUGUAUAUGAUAAUGUUAAAAAUUAAAAAUAAAUUGCCAUCAGUAUUAAAUAAUUAAAUAAAAAUGGAGGAGAGAGCAAUGCUAUGGAUGCUUUCUCUUGUUAUGUUUGUUGGAUCUUGUCUUGGAGCUGGAUCACUGCCAUUAAGUUAAAUAAAUUUAUCAGAAGAAGUAAGAUAUAGAAGUGAAGAAGAAUAUUUUAUGUAAUAUAAAAUUAUGACAAGUUACAAUUAGUUUCAAUAUUAGGAGCAGGACUCCUUGUUGGUACUGCGCUAGCGAUUAUACCUGACUGUAACCUGAGGGUGUAAGAGCAUUAUUAUUUACUGUGGAUGGUAUUACUAAUGAAAAAGGCAAUUUACAUACUUUAACUUGGAAUUAGUUUAGUACUUGGUUUAUGCUUUUAAUUGAUCAAUGUUCAGCCAGAAAAAGUGGAGGAAGACAAGAAAAGUAUUACAGCAACUUUAGGUCUUAUAGUAGAUGCUGCUAGUUGAUUGGCGGUGUUGCAUUGGGAGCUGCUGCUACUACAUCUCAAGCUGAUGUCGAAGUGUCUUAGUUUUUCUUCGCAAUAAUGUUACACAAGGCGCCAGAUGCAUUUGGACUUGUGUCAAUUUCUUCUUCAUGAAGGUGUAGAUAGAAAGUAAGAAAAUAAGCAGACACUUAUUAAUUUUCUCUCUUGCGGCACCGUGUCUUGCACUUGUGACAUAUUUUGGAAUUGGAAAAGUAAUGUGAGUGAGUAAUGACAUUCAGGACUGCCGCGCAAGACUGCACGCGCCAAUCAGGCGCGAGAACGGACGCGGACGCGCGAAGACUCCCAAUCAGGAGCGAGGACUGCCGUGCGUGCGCGAAGACGUCCAAUCAGGCGCGAGAACUGCCGCGCACGCCGCCAAGACUCCCAAUCAGGAGCGAGGACUGCCGUGCGUGCGCGAAGACUGCCAAUCAGGAGCGAGGACUGCCGCGCACGCCGCCAAGACUCCCAAUCAGGCGCGAGGACUGCCGAACAUGCGCGAAAUUGCAAAUUUAAAGGACAAGUUACAAUUAGUUUCAAUAUUAGGAGCAGGACUCCUUGUUGGUACUGCGCUAGCGAUUAUACCUGACUGUAACCUGAGGGUGUAAGAGCAUUAUUAUUUACUGUGGAUGGUAUUACUAAUGAAAAAGGCAAUUUACAUACUUUAACUUGGAAUUAGUUUAGUACUUGGUUUAUGCUUUUAAUUGAUCAAUGUUCAGCCAGAAAAAGUGGAGGAAGACAAGAAAAGUAUUACAGCAACUUUAGGUCUUAUAGUAAG